RNAcentral lists this ribosomal RNA (313 nucleotides) under Mesorhizobium sp. M2D.F.Ca.ET.145.01.1.1. RNAcentral's name for it is "partial 23S ribosomal RNA". It matches the Rfam family "Bacterial large subunit ribosomal RNA", at positions 900 to 1212 of the family's 2925-position model. The record is from RNAcentral. Lineage: Bacteria; Pseudomonadati; Pseudomonadota; Alphaproteobacteria; Hyphomicrobiales; Phyllobacteriaceae.
AGGUAGAGCACUGUUUGGACGAGGGGCCCUUCUCGGGUUACCGAAUUCAGACAAACUCCGAAUGCCAAUCAAUUUAACUUGGGAGUCAGAACGCGGGUGAUAAGGUCCGUGUUCGAAAGGGAAACAGCCCAGACCACCAGCUAAGGUCCCAAAAUAUAUGUUAAGUGGCAAAGGAUGUGGCGUUGCCCAGACAACUAGUAUGUUGGCUUAGAAGCAGCCAUCAUUUAAAGAGUGCGUAAUAGCUCACUAGUCGAGUGACACUGCGCCGAAAAUGUACCGGGGCUAAACAUAUUACCGAAGCUGUGGAUUGUCC